GAGCGGCGGACGGGUGAGUAACGCGUGGGUAACCUGCCCUGUACACACGGAUAACAUACCGAAAGGUAUGCUAAUACGGGAUAAUAUAUAAGAGUCGCAUGACUUUUAUAUCAAAGAUUUUUCGGUACAGGAUGGACCCGCGUCUGAUUAGCUAGUUGGCAAGGUAACGGCUUACCAAGGCGACGAUCAGUAGCCGACCUGAGAGGGUGACCGGCCACAUUGGGACUGAGACACGGCCCAAACUCCUACGGGAGGCAGCAGUGGGGAAUAUUGCACAAUGGGGGAAACCCUGAUGCAGCGACGCCGCGUGAGCGAAGAAGUAUUUCGGUAUGUAAAGCUCUAUCAGCAGGGAAGAAAAUGACGGUACCUGACUAAGAAGCACCGGCUAAAUACGUGCCAGCAGCCGCGGUAAUACGUAUGGUGCAAGCGUUAUCCGGAUUUACUGGGUGUAAAGGGAGCGUAGACGGAUGGGCAAGUCUGAUGUGAAAACCCGGGGCUCAACCCCGGGACUGCAUUGGAAACUGUUCAUCUAGAGUGCUGGAGAGGUAAGUGGAAUUCCUAGUGUAGCGGUGAAAUGCGUAGAUAUUAGGAGGAACACCAGUGGCGAAGGCGGCUUACUGGACAGUAACUGACGUUGAGGCUCGAAAGCGUGGGGAGCAAAUAGGAUUAGAUACCCUAGUAGUCCACGCCGUAAACGAUGAGAACUAGGUGUUGGGGGAAUAACUCAGUGCCGCAGUUAACGCAAUAAGUUCUCCGCCUGGGGAGUAUGCACGCAAGUGUGAAACUCAAAGGAAUUGACGGGGGCCCGCACAAGCGGUGGAGUAUGUGGUUUAAUUCGAAGCAACGCGAAGAACCUUACCAGGCCUUGACAUCCCUUGCAGAGGUAUAGAGAUAUAUCCGAGGUUAUCAAGGAGACAGGUGGUGCAUGGUUGUCGUCAGCUCGUGUCGUGAGAUGUUGGGUUAAGUCCCGCAACGAGCGCAACCCUUGUGAUAUGUUACUAACAUUGAGUUGAGGACUCAUAUCAGACUGCCGGUGAUAAACCGGAGGAAGGUGGGGAUGACGUCAAAUCAUCAUGCCCCUUAUGGCCUGGGCUACACACGUACUACAAUGGCGUCUACAAAGAGCGGCAAGCCUGUGAAGGCAAGCGAAUCUCAUAAAGGACGUCUCAGUUCGGAUUGAAGUCUGCAACCCGACUUCAUGAAGCUGGAAUCGCUAGUAAUCGCGAAUCAGCAUGUCGCGGUGAAUACGUUCUCGGGCCUUGCACUCACCGCCCGUCA
This 1278-nucleotide ribosomal RNA is filed under the name uncultured bacterium. RNAcentral's name for it is "bacterial SSU rRNA". It matches the Rfam family "Bacterial small subunit ribosomal RNA", at positions 93 to 1399 of the family's 1533-position model. The record is from RNAcentral.